RNAcentral lists this long non-coding RNA (220 nucleotides) under Panax ginseng (ginseng). RNAcentral describes it as "long non-coding RNA (PGIN_LNC005987)". Lineage: Eukaryota; Viridiplantae; Streptophyta; Magnoliopsida; Apiales; Araliaceae. The record is from RNAcentral.
UUUAAUUUUCAAAGUAUUGAUGUUAUAAACGUGUGCAGGUUCUUCCGUCAAUUUCUAAUCCUUUUCCUGAUAAAUCAAGUAUCUGUUGCAUCUUUCCGGCUGAUAGCUUCCAUCUUUCCAAAUCAUUCAAGUGCUACAUUUUGUAGCCUAUUUUACUUGGUGGCAAUGUUUUUAUUUUGUGGGUUUGUAAUUCCACGACGUAUGUGAGCUCGUUGUUAAC